Molecule: ribosomal RNA, 301 nt
Filed under: uncultured bacterium
Lineage: Bacteria
Description: partial 16S ribosomal RNA
Rfam family: Bacterial small subunit ribosomal RNA
Source: RNAcentral
CAGCAGCCGCGGUAAUACGUAGGGUGCGAGCGUUAAUCGGAGUUACUGGGCGUAAAGCGUGCGCAGGCGGUUGUGUAAGACAGGUGUGAAAUCCCCGGGCUUAACCUGGGAACUGCGCUUGUGACUGCACAGCUAGAGUAUGGCAGAGGGGGGUGGAAUUCCACGUGUAGCAGUGAAAUGCGUAGAGAUGUGGAGGAACACCGAUGGCGAAGGCAGCCCCCUGGGCCAAUACUGACGCUCAUGCACGAAAGCGUGGGGAGCAAACAGGAUUAGAUACCCGCGUAGUCCCUGUCUCUUAUAC